This 1363-nucleotide ribosomal RNA is filed under the name Mycobacterium sp. DWMJ-1168A2. RNAcentral describes it as "bacterial SSU rRNA". It matches the Rfam family "Bacterial small subunit ribosomal RNA", at positions 79 to 1442 of the family's 1533-position model. Lineage: Bacteria; Bacillati; Actinomycetota; Actinomycetes; Mycobacteriales; Mycobacteriaceae. The record is from RNAcentral.
UUCGGAGACACUCGAGUGGCGAACGGGUGAGUAACACGUGGGCAAUCUGCCCUGCACACCGGGAUAAGCCUGGGAAACUGGGUCUAAUACCGGAUAGGACCACUUGGCGCAUGCCUUGUGGUGGAAAGCUUUUGCGGUGUGGGAUGGGCCCGCGGCCUAUCAGCUUGUUGGUGGGGUGACGGCCUACCAAGGCGACGACGGGUAGCCGGCCUGAGAGGGUGUCCGGCCACACUGGGACUGAGAUACGGCCCAGCCUCCUACGGGAGGCAGCAGUGGGGAAUAUUGCACAAUGGGCGCAAGCCUGAUGCAGCGACGCCGCGUGGGGGAUGACGGCCUUUCGGGUUGUAAACCUCUUUCACCAUCGACGAAGGUCCGGGUUCUCUCGGAUUGACGGUAGGUGGAGAAGAAGCACCGGCCAACUACGUGCCAGCAGCCGCGGUAAUACGUAGGGUGCGAGCGUUGUCCGGAAUUACUGGGCGUAAAGAGCUCGUAGGUGGUUUGUCGCGUUGUUCGUGAAAUCUCACGGCUUAACUGUGAGCGUGCGGGCGAUACGGGCAGACUAGAGUACUGCAGGGGAGACUGGAAUUCCUGGUGUAGCGGUGGAAUGCGCAGAUAUCAGGAGGAACACCGGUGGCGAAGGCGGGUCUCUGGGCAGUAACUGACGCUGAGGAGCGAAAGCGUGGGGAGCGAACAGGAUUAGAUACCCUGGUAGUCCACGCCGUAAACGGUGGGUACUAGGUGUGGGUUUCCUUCCUUGGGAUCCGUGCCGUAGCUAACGCAUUAAGUACCCCGCCUGGGGAGUACGGCCGCAAGGCUAAAACUCAAAGGAAUUGACGGGGGCCCGCACAAGCGGCGGAGCAUGUGGAUUAAUUCGAUGCAACGCGAAGAACCUUACCUGGGUUUGACAUGCACAGGACGCGUCUAGAGAUAGGCGUUCCCUUGUGGCCUGUGUGCAGGUGGUGCAUGGCUGUCGUCAGCUCGUGUCGUGAGAUGUUGGGUUAAGUCCCGCAACGAGCGCAACCCUUGUCUCAUGUUGCCAGCGGGUAAUGCCGGGGACUCGUGAGAGACUGCCGGGGUCAACUCGGAGGAAGGUGGGGAUGACGUCAAGUCAUCAUGCCCCUUAUGUCCAGGGCUUCACACAUGCUACAAUGGCCGGUACAAAGGGCUGCGAUGCCGCGAGGUUAAGCGAAUCCUUUUAAAGCCGGUCUCAGUUCGGAUCGGGGUCUGCAACUCGACCCCGUGAAGUCGGAGUCGCUAGUAAUCGCAGAUCAGCAACGCUGCGGUGAAUACGUUCCCGGGCCUUGUACACACCGCCCGUCACGUCAUGAAAGUCGGUAACACCCGAAGCCAGUGGCCUAACCCU